RNAcentral lists this ribosomal RNA (443 nucleotides) under uncultured bacterium. RNAcentral describes it as "partial 16S ribosomal RNA". It matches the Rfam family "Bacterial small subunit ribosomal RNA", at positions 338 to 795 of the family's 1533-position model. The record is from RNAcentral.
CCUACGGGAGGCAGCAGUGGGGAAUAUUGGGCCAUGGAGGCAACUCUGACCCAGCAAUGCCGCGUGCGUGAUGACGGUAAUUUUAUUUUAAAGCUCUUUUUGUUGGAACGAAAAAAUGACUAUAUCAAAGGAUUAAGCCCCGGCUAACUACGUGCCAGCAGCCGCGGUAAUACGUAGGGGGCAAGCGUUGAUCGGAAUGCCUGGGCGGAAAGGGUGUGUAGGUGGUUUGAUAAGUUAGAUGUGUAAUACCCAGGGCUUAACUCGGGUGCUGCAUCUAAUACUGUUAGACUAGAGUGCCGGAGAGGAUAGUGGAAUUCGUGGUGUAGCGGUGAAAUGCGUAGAGAUUAGGAGGAACAUCAGUGGCGAAGGCGGCUAUCUGGACAGCAACUGACACUGAGGCACGAAAGCGUGGGGAGCAAACAGGAUUAGAUACCCUGGUAGUC